RNAcentral lists this ribosomal RNA (395 nucleotides) under uncultured bacterium. Its description in RNAcentral is "bacterial SSU rRNA". It matches the Rfam family "Bacterial small subunit ribosomal RNA", at positions 362 to 774 of the family's 1533-position model. The record is from RNAcentral.
UUUUGGACAAUGGGCGCAAGCCUGAUCCAGCCAUGCCGCGUGAGUGAUGAAGGCCCUAGGGUUGUAAAGCUCUUUCAACGGUGAAGAUAAUGACGGUAACCGUAGAAGAAGCCCCGGCUAACUUCGUGCCAGCAGCCGCGGUAAUACGAAGGGGGCUAGCGUUGUUCGGAAUUACUGGGCGUAAAGCGCACGUAGGCGGAUCGAUCAGUUAGGGGUGAAAUACCGGGGCUCAACCCCGGAACUGCCUCUAAUACUGUCGCUCUCGAGUUCGGGAGAGGUGAGUGUAAUUCCGAGUGUAGAGGUGAAAUUCGUAGAUAUUCGGAGGAACACCAGUGGCGAAGGCGGCUCACUGGCUCGAUACUGACGCUGAGGUGCGAAAGCGUGGGGAGCAAACA